GCAGCCUGUAGCAUAUAUUAAACUUAAAUCUUUAAAUAAGUGAUUAAUAUGCAUGUUAGACUCAACAAAUUUCUGUUAUUUUUGAAUUAAAAUUAAUAAUGAAAUAAAUAAAACAUGCCUUUUUAUCAAAUAGAGGUUGGGCUUGACUGCUGGAGAUAGCGGAGUUGUGUGUUGUUGAUCUGGAGUGCAUAUCUUUAUUUUGAAUGCAGAAGCUUUUGAGUCUCGGUGCACGAGACAUUUUGCAACAGAGUUGCUGAAGAGGUAUUUCAAUGCGGAACAAUCUUUAAUUUCUAAGAGGCCAAGAUUAGAGAACGACUUCAAAUGUUGAAUCUCACCGCAUGAUAUCCUUGCUACAUACUCAAUAGUGUUACAAUUUUCGAUGUACAAGUCUUUUAGAUCCGUAAAUGCUUCCCUGUUGCUGUUGUAUAUGCUACCCACAUCAAUAUCGGUGCAAUCCAAUAACACAUAUUCAGCCCUCUCAA
This is a long non-coding RNA of Daucus carota subsp. sativus, 482 nucleotides long. RefSeq lists it as uncharacterized. The transcript has 2 exons. The record is from RefSeq and is a predicted model, not a curated record. Lineage: Eukaryota; Viridiplantae; Streptophyta; Magnoliopsida; Apiales; Apiaceae.